RNAcentral lists this ribosomal RNA (462 nucleotides) under uncultured soil bacterium. RNAcentral's name for it is "bacterial SSU rRNA". It matches the Rfam family "Bacterial small subunit ribosomal RNA", at positions 26 to 489 of the family's 1533-position model. The record is from RNAcentral.
AGAAUCAACGCUGGCGGCGUGCCUAACACAUGCAAGUCGAACGAGAAAGUGGAGCAAUCCAUGAGUAAAGUGGCGACCGGGUGAGUAACACGUGACUAACCUACCCUGGAGUGGGGAAUAACCUUCCGAAAGGAGGGCUAAUACCGCAUAAAGUCCUGAGGCUGAGAUGCCAUAGGACCAAAGGAGCAAUUCGCUUUGGGAGGGGGUCGCGGCAGAUUAGCUAGUUGGUGAGGUAAUGGCUCACCAAGGCAUUGAUCUGUAGCCGGCCUGAGAGGGCGCGACGGACCGACGACUAGGAACGUGAAACACGGUCCAGACUCCGUACGGGAGGCAGCAGUGGGGAAUUUUGCGCAAGUGGGGGAAACCCUGGACGCAGCAACGCCGCGUGGAGGAUAGAGGUCGUUUGGAUUCGUAAACUUCCGUUACGUAGUACGGACGAUUAGUGGACGGUAACCGGAAGAA